UUAAGCGACUAAGCGUACACGGUGGAUGCCCUGGCAGUCAGAGGCGAUGAAGGACGUGCUAAUCUGCGAUAAGCGUCGGUAAGGUGAUAUGAACCGUUAUAACCGGCGAUUUCCGAAUGGGGAAACCCAGUGUGUUUCGACACACUAUCAUUAACUGAAUCCAUAGGUUAAUGAGGCGAACCGGGGGAACUGAAACAUCUAAGUACCCCGAGGAAAAGAAAUCAACCGAGAUUCCCCCAGUAGCGGCGAGCGAACGGGGAGGAGCCCAGAGCCUGAAUCAGUGUGUGUGUUAGUGGAAGCGUCUGGAAAGGCGCGCGAUACAGGGUGACAGCCCCGUACACAAAAAUGCACAUGCUGUGAGCUCGAUGAGUAGGGCGGGACACGUGGUAUCCUGUCUGAAUAUGGGGGGACCAUCCUCCAAGGCUAAAUACUCCUGACUGACCGAUAGUGAACCAGUACCGUGAGGGAAAGGCGAAAAGAACCCCGGCGAGGGGAGUGAAAAAGAACCUGAAACCGUGUACGUACAAGCAGUGGGAGCCUCUUUUAUGGGGUGACUGCGUACCUUUUGUAUAAUGGGUCAGCGACUUAUAUUCUGUAGCAAGGUUAACCGAAUAGGGGAGCCGAAGGGAAACCGAGUCUUAACUGGGCGUUAAGUUGCAGGGUAUAGACCCGAAACCCGGUGAUCUAGCCAUGGGCAGGUUGAAGGUUGGGUAACACUAACUGGAGGACCGAACCGACUAAUGUUGAAAAAUUAGCGGAUGACUUGUGGCUGGGGGUGAAAGGCCAAUCAAACCGGGAGAUAGCUGGUUCUCCCCGAAAGCUAUUUAGGUAGCGCCUCGUGAAUUCAUCUCCGGGGGUAGAGCACUGUUUCGGCAAGGGGGUCAUCCCGACUUACCAACCCGAUGCAAACUGCGAAUACCGGAGAAUGUUAUCACGGGAGACACACGGCGGGUGCUAACGUCCGUCGUGAAGAGGGAAACAACCCAGACCGCCAGCUAAGGUCCCAAAGUCAUGGUUAAGUGGGAAACGAUGUGGGAAGGCCCAGACAGCCAGGAUGUUGGCUUAGAAGCAGCCAUCAUUUAAAGAAAGCGUAAUAGCUCACUGGUCGAGUCGGCCUGCGCGGAAGAUGUAACGGGGCUAAACCAUGCACCGAAGCUGCGGCAGCGACGCUGAUGCGUUGUUGGGUAGGGGAGCGUUCUGUAAGCCUGCGAAGGUGUGCUGUGAGGCAUGCUGGAGGUAUCAGAAGUGCGAAUGCUGACAUAAGUAACGAUAAAGCGGGUGAAAAGCCCGCUCGCCGGAAGACCAAGGGUUCCUGUCCAACGUUAAUCGGGGCAGGGUGAGUCGACCCCUAAGGCGAGGCCGAAAGGCGUAGUCGAUGGGAAACAGGUUAAUAUUCCUGUACUUGGUGUUACUGCGAAGGGGGGACGGAGAAGGCUAUGUUGGCCGGGCGACGGUUGUCCCGGUUUAAGCGUGUAGGCUGGUUUUCCAGGCAAAUCCGGAAAAUCAAGGCUGAGGCGUGAUGACGAGGCACUACGGUGCUGAAGCAACAAAUGCCCUGCUUCCAGGAAAAGCCUCUAAGCAUCAGGUAACAUCAAAUCGUACCCCAAACCGACACAGGUGGUCAGGUAGAGAAUACCAAGGCGCUUGAGAGAACUCGGGUGAAGGAACUAGGCAAAAUGGUGCCGUAACUUCGGGAGAAGGCACGCUGAUAUGUAGGUGAAGUCCCUCGCGGAUGGAGCUGAAAUCAGUCGAAGAUACCAGCUGGCUGCAACUGUUUAUUAAAAACACAGCACUGUGCAAACACGAAAGUGGACGUAUACGGUGUGACGCCUGCCCGGUGCCGGAAGGUUAAUUGAUGGGGUCAGCGCAAGCGAAGCUCUUGAUCGAAGCCCCGGUAAACGGCGGCCGUAACUAUAACGGUCCUAAGGUAGCGAAAUUCCUUGUCGGGUAAGUUCCGACCUGCACGAAUGGCGUAAUGAUGGCCAGGCUGUCUCCACCCGAGACUCAGUGAAAUUGAACUCGCUGUGAAGAUGCAGUGUACCCGCGGCAAGACGGAAAGACCCCGUGAACCUUUACUAUAGCUUGACACUGAACAUUGAGCCUUGAUGUGUAGGAUAGGUGGGAGGCUUUGAAGUGUGGACGCCAGUCUGCAUGGAGCCGACCUUGAAAUACCACCCUUUAAUGUUUGAUGUUCUAACGUGGACCCGUAAUCCGGGUUGCGGACAGUGUCUGGUGGGUAGUUUGACUGGGGCGGUCUCCUCCUAAAGAGUAACGGAGGAGCACGAAGGUUGGCUAAUCCUGGUCGGACAUCAGGAGGUUAGUGCAAUGGCAUAAGCCAGCUUGACUGCGAGCGUGACGGCGCGAGCAGGUGCGAAAGCAGGUCAUAGUGAUCCGGUGGUUCUGAAUGGAAGGGCCAUCGCUCAACGGAUAAAAGGUACUCCGGGGAUAACAGGCUGAUACCGCCCAAGAGUUCAUAUCGACGGCGGUGUUUGGCACCUCGAUGUCGGCUCAUCACAUCCUGGGGCUGAAGUAGGUCCCAAGGGUAUGGCUGUUCGCCAUUUAAAGUGGUACGCGAGCUGGGUUUAGAACGUCGUGAGACAGUUCGGUCCCUAUCUGCCGUGGGCGCUGGAGAACUGAGGGGGGCUGCUCCUAGUACGAGAGGACCGGAGUGGACGCAUCACUGGUGUUCGGGUUGUCAUGCCAAUGGCACUGCCCGGUAGCUAAAUGCGGAAGAGAUAAGUGCUGAAAGCAUCUAAGCACGAAACUUGCCCCGAGAUGAGUUCUCCCUGACUCCUUGAGAGUCCUGAAGGAACGUUGAAGACGACGACGUUGAUAGGCCGGGUGUGUAAGCGCAGCGAUGCGUUGAGCUAACCGGUACUAAUGAACCGUGAGGCUUAACCUU
Molecule: ribosomal RNA, 2902 nt
Filed under: Escherichia coli
Lineage: Bacteria; Pseudomonadati; Pseudomonadota; Gammaproteobacteria; Enterobacterales; Enterobacteriaceae
Description: bacterial LSU rRNA
Rfam family: Bacterial large subunit ribosomal RNA
Source: RNAcentral